UUUUCACUUCCCCACGUCGCGGCUGCGGGGAGCAACAAGCGGCAGCGCGUGUGAGCGUGGGGAUCGCGCCGAAGGGCGCGCGCUUUUCACCGGGGCCACGCUGGGACUGUGGGGCACCAGAAGUGGUGGACGGGGCGCUGGCUUGGGAGCUGGCCACCAGCUGGUGGUGGCCGUAGGGAAGGAAGGAGAUGACCUGACUCUACAUCCUACCUGAAGGGUGGAGAUGGACCAGAGAGAGCCCCGGAAGCCUGGGGACCCUUCCCGACCUGUGGCUUAAGUGCUCAGAACCGCUGUGCACAGGCUGCAUAUACAAACUCAUCUUGGAAAGUCGCCCGCUGCAAAGGAAUGCAUGUGGAUUCUGUGUGUGCCUGGAGGUCAAAAGAAGACGCAGAUCUCCUGGAACUGAACUGUGGAUGGCUCACUAGAAGAGUAACUGAUGCCGUAGGAGAGCCUGAUGAGCAAGCCAUGGAAAGUAAGCCAAUAGGCAGCAUUUCUCCAUGGUUCCGGCCGCCAUGUUCCUGCUUGAGGUCCUGCUCUGACUUCCCUGAAUGAUGAUGCACUAUGACCAGGACAGGAAAUCUACAAUAGGACUUUUUCUUUCCUGGUUCCAGAGAAUGGCUGAGAAGACCUUUCAGCAGUUUCAAAUGCAAGAACCAGAUAUCACCCGUUGUUAUUGAGAGUAAAUCAAUACCGUGCCUGUCACAGCUUCUUCCCCGCCCUCCUCCUUUUGGAUGCAACGGCUGUUCUCUCUCAGUUUGUGGGGAGUUACUCCAGAGCCUCCUCCUCCAGGGUACCAAAUCUCGGGCUGGCUUGGUUCCUUACAUAGAAUGUCAUGGCAUUGCCCAGGACCUUGGGAUAGCCUCCAGAUACUUCAAAUCAUCUCUCCAUUGCGUUUGUGUUCCUUACACCUGUACAGAGUCAGUGCUGUGUGAGUCAUUGUUGUAUGCUUAGAGAAUGGUGCCAGGUUUUUUUUUUUUAAAGCCUAUGCAUGUUCAGUGCAGAUGCAACUUCUACUUUCAAAUAUGUUGACUGUGAUACAAACUGAAUCUUGGAACUCAGCAUGUGAAAAUACAGAAGAUCCCCUGCACCCUAAAAAGAAUAGUGUCUCUAUCAAACAUACCCUCUCAUGCCUGAGGUCAGUCUGAGAUGAUAAGAUGUAAUACUCACUGGAAAAUUGUACCAUACCCUCCAAAAGUCGUUAAAUUUACUCUGUGAAGAACCAGAAAUGCACAACCACAUAACAGAGGCAAAUGACUUCAUUUUAUUAUUCAUGUAUUCCUAAGAUCCUGCAAUACCGUCAACUUCUCCAUUUGCUGAUAUCCGUGUAGUAACAAUAAUAUCAUUAAUAUCAUCAAACCCAAGAGACAUUAGGAAGGAAAUGCUAACCCAGGGAUGCUUGGGUUGGUCCCAUAUAAAACAGCGAAAGGUGUAAACUUUCAGGGGCUGGAGAGGUGGCUCAGCAGUUAAGAGUACUUGUUGCUUGUGACCACUUGUAACUCCAGAUCCAGGGGACUGGACUCCCUCUUCUAGCUUCUAUGAGCAGGAAUUCUUGUAGUUUACAUACCUGCAUACAGCAGUUAUUCACAUAAAUAAAUCUUAGAAGGGUGGUGGAGAGGGAGAAGAGCAAAUGUUCACAAUGCCCAAAGCCAGAGAAACUGUUUGGAAGUAUGAUAACGAGGGAAGGACUACAAGACUAUCUAGGAGACAAAGUUGUGAGGAGAAAAUGGAUGGAGCAGGUGAGCUUUGCAGGUCCCAUACAACACAGAAAACAAAGAGGAGCUGGGCUUAGCUGAACGUAUCAACACAGUAUUAACAGUAAACCUCCCACCCAAGUACUGCCAGACUCAGACGUCCUUAGCUUCUACUCUAUUUUGAUUCUGUUGCUAUGGCAAAUGCCAUAACCAAAAGCCACUUAGGGAAAAAGUGUUUUAUUUUCCUGUGAACCCGAAGCCAGGAUUGCUUGUUAUUUUACACAGCAUUCCCUCAGAUCAGGGAACCCACUCAGAGCCAAGGCAGUGCAACAGAAACCACAACAGAUCACUGCUUCCUGGCUCACAGGUUCACCUUUGGUUAGAUAAGGGCUUACUUAGUAAGGGCUUCCUUACACAGUCCACCUGCAUAGGGAUUGAUGCUGCCCACAGUGGGCUGAACUCUCCCAUCUUAAAUAACAAUCAAGAUAAAUACCUCACAGACAUGCUCUUAGGGCAAUCUGACCUGAGUGGCCUCAGUCAAGGCUCCUUUCUCAAAUGACUCCAGGCUGUGUCAAGCUGACAGUUGAAGUUUACAAGGACAGCUGAGAUCAGGUAAAAUUGGCCAUUUUCAGUGUGGCAUAGCCACAGACAUAAUAAUAAGUUAAUGGAAGCACUUGUGUAGUCUACCUUCCCCCAGCCUGAAACCUGUUUGCUCAGGGGUGGAGCUUGCCGCUCAAUCGUUCUGCCACGCCCACAGCUGGAACCUGCCACUUUGCUGUUCUGGAGCCAUACGAGUGGUCACCCUGCUACUGGACUCCAAGAUUAUUUGGCGGGAAUCGGGCCCCCUUCCCCUGCUUCAUAACUGCAUGCAGAAUAAUAAAAUUGAGCUUUGAUC
RNAcentral lists this long non-coding RNA (2586 nucleotides) under Mus musculus (house mouse). RNAcentral describes it as "predicted gene, 16675". The record is from RNAcentral. Lineage: Eukaryota; Metazoa; Chordata; Mammalia; Rodentia; Muridae.